ACCAACUCUAAGACAUUCGCAAUAUUUACUCCGCAGAGAAUCUAUUCAAUAUCAAGUAUCUACCACACCUACACUAUGCUGAAGGUAAUGCUCCUCCUUUCCUGCCUUGUUGCUACUGGUCUCUGCACUCUGUACCAUGGAAAUUCAUUUGGAUCUGGCUUGGGAUCACUAUUUUAUGAUGGAUACGGAAAUGGUUUGGGACUUCUAGGAAACAGUGGAAGGGGGUCCGGAUAUGGAGGCAAUUACUAUGGACGCGAAGGAUACGGAUUGGGAGGCUACGGAAGUGGAAAUGGAAACAAAUGGGGAAGACGAAGUUCAAGAUUUGGUGGAUAUUAGGAAAACUGGCAGCAGAAAAAAACGAGGUUCAUCUGUCGCAGCAUACAUUAUCAUUUUAUUUAUUUACAUUGUGUUGUUUUCACAUAAUAAAUCAUGUUUUUGUAAAACGA
This 446-nucleotide long non-coding RNA is filed under the name Mizuhopecten yessoensis (Yesso scallop). Its description in RNAcentral is "uncharacterized LOC110445529". The record is from RNAcentral. Lineage: Eukaryota; Metazoa; Mollusca; Bivalvia; Pectinida; Pectinidae.